RNAcentral lists this long non-coding RNA (670 nucleotides) under Homo sapiens (human). Its description in RNAcentral is "HSALNT0167557". The record is from RNAcentral. Lineage: Eukaryota; Metazoa; Chordata; Mammalia; Primates; Hominidae.
UGUUUUCACGCUACCCCUUCCCCACCCCAGGACCUUUUCCUCCAGGAGUGUCCCACAAUCCCCAGUUAUCUGCCCUUUAUGUUCCCCAGUCCAAAUGGACCCCAGCACAACCAGCAGCCACACUUUUGGCCAUUGGUUGAUCUCCAGAAGUUAAGGAAGAAGCUCCUUAAACCAGUUUAUACUAACAUGGAAAUGACUGAAAGCCCCCUGCCCUUCCUACAGGAAACCAAUCAACCCAAAGAAAUCUCUUCAGCUAGUGGGAUUUCAGUGGGAUUCCAGUAAGAUGACCACAGCGGGUGGAUCCUGGGGAAAGGCUCUGCAGAGAGGCUCUGGCCUCGGGCCUGUACCUCCCAGGUCACUUCAUCUGCAUCUUCCCAUACUCUUCUGACCCUAGAGACCCUUUCAAGGAACUCAAAGGGAGGACCUAGCAACAUCGAGGGUACGAGGAGGGAAGGGGCAGCAGAAGGGCAGUGUUUUCUUCAUACGUGUCCUUAGUCUACUGGCAGGAUUGUAGGGACUGGGAACAGUGCAGUUUAGGGGGAGGCAGAGUGGGCCAGCUCAACCCGGCUGUUAACACAGACAUGGAGGAUCAGGGAGGGAACUUGGCAAGUGGGAACCCACCAACCAUGAGAUGAUAGAGACCUAGGUUUGAAUUCUGGUGCAUUAUUUA